This 234-nucleotide long non-coding RNA is filed under the name Homo sapiens (human). RNAcentral describes it as "HSALNT0006760". Lineage: Eukaryota; Metazoa; Chordata; Mammalia; Primates; Hominidae. The record is from RNAcentral.
UGAGGCCACCUUCCAACAGCCAGCAAGGAACUGCCACUUUCUGACAACAGCCAUGUGAGUCAUCGUGGAAGCUGAUCUUCCUGCUCCAGUCAAGCCUUUCAGAUGACUGCAGCACUGGCUAAUAUAUUGACUACAACUUCAUAAGAGACCCUGAGCCAGAACUCAAAGUUCUGACCCACGAAAACUAUGAGAUCUUGUUUGGAAUUCUGACUCAAACCAACUGGUAAGGAAGAA